Molecule: long non-coding RNA, 5226 nt
Organism: Aquila chrysaetos chrysaetos
Lineage: Eukaryota; Metazoa; Chordata; Aves; Accipitriformes; Accipitridae
Exons: 2
Source: RefSeq, a predicted model, not a curated record
AGAUAUUUUAAUUCUUGCUUUACAGCUGGUUGUUGUUUGUGGGUUUUUUUUAAUAUCUUGGUAUGAGCUGGUGCAUUACUUGCAACAAUGCUUCAUCAGCCACAGCCAAACUUUGAGCUCCUUGUGCAGUUAGGCAGCCUGUGUCUUGUAAGCCCUGCCCUGUUCACAUCAGUCAAAAAGGAGCAAUUUACAGCCAGAACCACUUUAUUUAGUUUCCCAGACUGGUUUCUGUGGGGUCAUCCCAAGGAAUCCAGAAAUGCACCCAGCCCAAUACCUGAAAUAGAACUUAGUCAUACAUGGAAGAGUCUCUUCAGUCAUACACACACAUGCUGAUGCUUUCCCUGUACCACUAAUGGACAUUUUUGUGGCUGCUGAGCUUUCUGCCUGUAACUGGCCAUUUUAGUGGCAGCCCAAUCACUUUCCCCUGAAAAGCCAUUCCCACUGUAGCUGUUGCCUCAGUGACCUCCACAUAAGAGGGGUAUCUAGAUCAGCUGUCUGCAGGAAGCAAACCUAGCUGAAUCUGUUAUUGUGAAAUAGGAAUGCUGUAUGACCUUUAAGUGGGCAGUGCACUUACAGCUGUGUUGCUUACUCCCUGUCCUUGUCUUUGAAAAGGUGCUGGUAAACAAGUAAAGAUACUGGUAAACAAUCAGUUCCUGACAGGCCAGAUCAACUUCAGUCAUAGGACUGAAGAAAGCUUGGUAACUUCAAGAAAGAGAUUCAGCUUCUUUGCUUCUGUCGUUGUAGCAUGCCAUGAAGGCACAAGAUUUUCUUUCCCUCUCGAAAUGUUUUGUAUGUGAACAAUCAAAUGUAGGCUCCAACCCAACAAGAAUUCAAAAUAAUGAUAACACAAGAUUGAACUCAGAUUAGCUUACCAAGAGAGGUCUCAACUUAGUUAAACUGCAUUAACUUGCAUUUGCUGUGGUUCACAAGCAUGCAUGUUGCCUCAAGUGCUGUAACAUGGUCAUGUGUCUAAAUGUAGCAGCCAGAAUAUUUUUAAAGGCAAUGUAAGUGUUGAUCAUAACUAAGGGAAAAUUGCAUUAAAGGUUAUUUUAUACACCUUCAUAAACCUUCAAUUAGAAAAGCACAUGAACUUUCAUCCAUUCUUGAGUUUUCUUGGUAUAAUCAAGAGGGCAAAGUUCCUUUAAAGAAACAUUCUUACACAGUAUCUAUAUACCAAACAUUACAGCCUUAUGCUAGUGAUAGUGCUGUGAAACAGCAAAGUUAACUGGAAGCCAUUUGUAAAAAAAAAAAAAAAAAAUCCAAACAAACAAAAAAAACCCCCAAGCCCCAAACCAACCAAAAAAAACCCCCCAAAACCAAACUGAAUUUAGUCUAUACUUAUGGUCUAGGCUGAGAACUGCCAAAAAGUAAAUAAAAGCAAAUAUUAUUUACUACUUUUAAGAACUAAACAAAAAGAAGUUGCUCUGAAUGCCUUGCGUUGCUUUUUCUUUUGCACCAGUGAGCUGAGAAAUCAUCUAGCACUGGCCACAUCCUGCUUUGUUCCCCUUGAUCACACUGUGCUCAUUUGAAGCACUCUCAUGUGGUAGUGAUGUCCUUAUGUAUCAGAACGAACUGCACAUCAUAGGGGCUGCAGCUUAGUCUUUUUCUGCUACUUGCAGAAUAAGCACAAAGACAACUUCUGUCAAGCAGACUUUCAAGAACCUGCUUUUUCCUAACAAUGUCUGCCUUAAAGCAUAGCCAAAAAUUCUCUUUGCAUCACUCCAUAUUGAGGGAAUACAGAACAAUGCCCAGGGUGGAGAAAAUCUCUCUCUUGGGCCAGAGGAGAGCCAUCUCAGGUCUUUGUGCUGUCACAGCUCAGCAGAAUAAAAUCACCCCUCCUGGUAGGAUACAUAGUUAAUCCGGACUCCUAUGCACUAGUGUGCUGCAGCUAAUUACAGCUCUAGUUCAGGACACUCAGCUCAUGGCCUGUCCACAUAGAUCUUCCACCUGAACUUCUGUUUGAACCUAGUCUCUGUUUUUAACAGUGCUCAAAGCUCUUUGUCAGUGUGCUUACCUCCUUUCUCAAGGGCUGUGAUAUGUCUUAGCAGGUGUCAAUCCAUGAGCGAUGCCAGAUCUACAACCAGCACAGCUCUGGAUUUAAUUUUUUGUUGUUAUUUUGCUUACAAAGUUGAGAUUUCAGGAGGGCAGGCAUGCCCUAUUAUCCCCUUAUUAAUCAAGAAAUGGCAUGUCCCUAGAGCUACCAUAGAUAUAUAUGGACCUGAUAAAGAAAAACCAUUUCUCCAGCCUAGUGGGUGAGGCUUAGAGCCUCUUGGAGCAGCCUUAGGACAAGGUAUGAGCUGCAUGGCUUGCUAACUUCCAGGAGGCUGUCGCAUACAAGAACAGCAUGUGAAGGGAAGUCAGCCCUUCCUUACAUCACAGUUAACUGCAGCUUGGAUUUUGUCCUCUCAGAGAUGUGCACAGCCCACAGCUUGUUCACUGACACUUCUGCUGGAAAACAGGAGGGAAGCAAAAGGUAAUAGUCAUCACCCUGGUACUGAUAAAGAUGAAAAGACUAAUGUAUUUAAGAUAUUACUGGUCCAGCCCAAGAGUUCUUGUUUGUCUGUCUUUGUUAGCUAACCUGCACGUCCCUUUUGUUCCAAAGUUGGCCCCUUCUGUUCCUGUCUGACAAAACAUGUACUCAAAAGCUAGCCGUGAACAUACUGGUACAUAGGCCCCCCUCUGCAUGUGACUCAGCAACUCAUCUCUUGUGUUUGAGUGGCAGGCAUGAGAGCACAGGGGCAGGACAUAAUGUCAGAGUCUGCUCUGCCUAAGCAAUCAGCCUCCAUUUACUGUCUUAUUUCCUAGCCACAUGUGUCAAGUUACUGACUUGCUUAGAGGCUGGAUGUAGUUUCCUCUGUAUUUUUCCAGCCACACGUUAGUUGUAGCCAGAAGAGUUUGUGCAGCAAGACAAUGGGUCCUACUUCCCAUUUGUGAGACCUACCAGUCUGCAAAAGAUGGUCCCUGCAGGGAAAUUGAAAGGAGUGGAUGGAAAGAAAGAAGUCUUGAUGAGCUCCUGAGAAUUGUAUUCAGUGCUCCUCAGCCAGCAUGGAAAUUCCUAGAAGAAACCAAAGGAAGGACAUCUUGUCCUGUUCCCCAGGUUAACAUGCCCUUUAAGAAUCAGGAAAAUGUACAGUCUAGCUCCCUGCUGUGUGCACAGAUCUGGAAGGAGUAGAGACUUCAAACCACUGGUACAAAGUUCACAAACUCAGUGAUGUUUCUCAAUAACAGUAAGUCCUAAACAUACUCUGAAGUGAUGUUGCUGAUCCUGGUUUUUGUGGGGAAGAUACACGUUUCCUUGUGACCAAAGCUGGGUGCUCCAUGUGGACAAGGUCAUUUCUUCUGAGGAUUGGUGACUCUCCGGAGACCUUUUAAUCGACUAAGCAACUCCGUAAUGAAGUCCUACAACGAGAAUUGGUUGAAGAAGGGUGUCGUGUUAAUUCCAGUGCUCACCAGCCCAAAGAGUACUAUGGCACUUGCAUUAUUGCCACAUUCACCUUCAUGUUGAGCAGAAACCAGAAUUUUGACACGUAUUGAGCAAACCUAUCUUUUAGCUUAGGAAAGGAGACCUUUCAAUGGAUGAGAAGGAUCUAAAAGCUCCUCUACUUACCUUCCCCUGUCUCCCUCUGGAGCAGCCAUGUUUACUUUCUCCUCAGGAGCCAGCCUGCCCCUCUUCAUCCCAGAUACCUGCUUUUUCCACCUUGAGAUGACCUCAGGAUGCUGUUGUCCUCUGUUAGGUUCCACUGCUUCCUGUUGCCACCAUAACCUCCUGCCUACUUCUACUGCCCUCCCAAUCUAGGGCAAAGCAAGUCAUCCCUCUUGUUGAACCUGUAAAGCUCCAUGUUGUGGAUUGCAAACUAUCUCGGAGCUGUGCCAAUUCUAUAAGGAAGUGGCUGGCAGAGAAGAGGUGGAGCAAAACACACAUAGCACUAAUGAUAACCUGGAGCAGGGGUUAGGGACGAGCAGAGCAGAUAGAUGAGCAGUUAAUGGAGAUGAACCCUGACGACUAUGCUGACACCACCAAGGACUAUGAACUAAACUGGACCAUCUGGUUAUUCCAAGCAGAAGGGAAUGAGACUAGUGCAAAAUUUACCUUCUGCAUGACAAGUAACAUCACAAUAAAGGAGUGUGCAGCCUUUCUUCACCCAAAGAGAUAGCUACGUGUCCUUGUAAUUAGGCAAGGUCACUGGAAGUAUUGCAGCUUGUUACCAUCUGUGCUGUGUGGAAGCCCAGCUUCCUCACUUGGGUGGGUGAUCAGGGGUUGCCUGUCACAGCAUGCUCUGGAAGGAAAUGCCUAGGAUCAUACAUACCUUUUCAGUCAGACUUUUCAGAGGAAACUGGUUUGUUUCCUCUGUCUGCUUUCUGCAGAUAGGCUGCUGUGAUCUUUCAAGGGCACUGGAUUCAAGAUCACCAGGGUGAAAGUACGUAUUCUUGCCAAUGGGGCAGCAGUAUCUGUCUGUAGUUAGCAAGUACCAUGCUGUCCUCAAGACACUUUCAUGGCUCAUGAAUCAGUAGAGCAAACUCUUCUCAGUUAUCUCUCUGGGAAUGCAGGGUUCUUGCCUAAGAUCUGAAAUUCAAACACUCUGAGAACUAUUUCCCUAUUGCCAGCCUUGUCUGCUGAAUCCCUGCUAGGAGACUAUCUGUAAUGAUUGUUACAGCAGAGUUUAAUUUCAGCGAUAGUUGUGCAUCCACCUCAUUUUCUGUAUGGUCAUCACUGUACAGCUACAUAGGCUCAACAAGAUGUGGAGACUGAUGAAUGAUGUCCAAGCACAGUGUUCACAUGCAAUGAAUGUGACUGAAGCAGUGCUGGGAGACUCCAUUUUGCACAGGUAUGCAGUGCAGUGAAGACAAUUGCUGUGCGGUGCAUGCACUACACUGCAAAGUGUUGGACUCCACUCCUUUGGACAUUGUAAGAGCUUGUGGGAUUUCUUUAACUCUCUAACUCAAAACCAGUACUUGUAAAGUUCACAUGGGGAAGAAAACCCCACACGUGUAAGACUAACUUGCGUGGCCACUGCUCAACAAUUAUCUGCCCAAUCCAAUCUGAGGGCCAUCCUACAAUCUUGUCACUCAAAACACUAGAGUGGUUUAAGCUACGAAUGCAUUUAGUUAACAGUGUGCAAGAUGGUUACAUGAGCUGUAUCACUGUCUAUAGCUUUUCUACACUGAGAACCAAAUGGUAACUCGGCCUGGUCAGCUUAGGAUGUCCAAAACAUGGAACGAACUUUC